GCCAUCUGCACCCUCCAGCUCUCACCCGUCUAUUUUCGCGCAUCGUAUCGACUUGGAGUCGUGCCAAAUUGAGCGCUCCACCCAAUGUCUCCCCUUCUAACCCUUCCCACCAUAGAUGGCCAGCC
Caenorhabditis elegans is the source of this 125-nucleotide non-coding RNA. NCBI's taxonomy places the organism in Eukaryota, Metazoa, Nematoda, Chromadorea, Rhabditida, Rhabditidae. The record is from Ensembl.